GGAAGGUUGUCCGAGCUGGCCGAAGGAGCACGCCUGGAAAGUGUGUAGGCGUCACAAGCGUCUCAAGGGUUCGAAUCCCUUACCUUCCGC
This 90-nucleotide transfer RNA is filed under the name Staphylococcus aureus. RNAcentral's name for it is "tRNA-Ser(gga)". It matches the Rfam family "tRNA". Rfam says of the family: Transfer RNA (tRNA) molecules are approximately 80 nucleotides in length. Lineage: Bacteria; Bacillati; Bacillota; Bacilli; Caryophanales; Staphylococcaceae. The record is from RNAcentral.